RNA transcript from Amaranthus tricolor (Joseph's coat), 2155 nucleotides. RefSeq lists it as uncharacterized. The record is from RefSeq and is a predicted model, not a curated record. Lineage: Eukaryota; Viridiplantae; Streptophyta; Magnoliopsida; Caryophyllales; Amaranthaceae. The transcript has 3 exons.
UUUACUUGUUAGUAUAUUAGCAACUUCUUUUUGACCUAGAUUAUGUACCUUUAAUUACACCAUCAAGCAAAACCAUAUAAAGCCUCAGCUUCAACUUCAUGUCGCCAACAUGAGAUGCAUAGUAAAUACUUUCGAUUUGAGCUGAUAUUUUAAGGAAAAUUGGAUUUCUUGGGGGAGCGCAAUAAAAAGAGUGUAAGGUUUCUUCACUAUUCACAUUUCAGAAAUGAAUAGUGUUUUUGCUUAGUCAUCUUCCACUUCAUCUUUGGUGUUACACACAUGUGGUGGAUUGCAUAUAGGUUUUCUUCAAUGAUGCAUGAAGUUUGGGGUAGACAAAAGAUCAAGGUUUCUUUGAGGAAGCAUCAUUAGUAGACAUAACUAAUCAAGCUUGUGCUCUUUUUAAUCCGACUGAGGUAAGAAUAUAUACAAUUGUUUCAUUUCUUCCCCUUCAUUUGAAUUUUAUCCAUUUAUUCUUCGUUUUUAUGCUUGCCUUGGAUUAUUAUGUAUAUUAGAACAUUCAAGUGGCAAUAUAUUUGAAAUCUAAGGCACAUUUAUGCAUGUUAACACCGAGGUAAAAAUAUAUACAAUUCUGCCUUUGUUUUUCCUUCAUUUGACCAUUUACUCAUCAUUUUGAUGUUUUCUAUGAAAGGAUUGAUAUUACUAGAGCUCCAAAAUGGAAACAGAUUUGGGGUCUUGGACACAUCUGUAUGUGUUAAUAGUAAACACUGAUUAAAGAGUACAUUAUGGUUUUGUAGAGAUCAACAAAUGCUGUUUUUUCACCUUAUGUUGUAUACUUGUAUAGUUGAUGAAUUGUCUUGUGUUAUUUAGUUCAUUUAUGCAUUUUUCUAUUUGAUCACUUAGUUUUUGCACGGGGAUUUUGAAAGUAUAUUUGGCUAAUGAAUCCUAACUGAAUACAAAUAAUUUUUUUAUCUGCUUUGUGACAAUCCAUUUGAUGUAGAAAGAGAUAGGAGGAAACUAAAGAGAUAAAGAAAGUGUUGCACACACUUUGCAACCUGUAUAAAAAAGAAAUUUUGUUGAAAAAUACGGGUGAUCAUUAUUUAUUUAUAUAUUAUGGUAAAAAAAAUAGUGUAGUUUUUCAUUGUUAGUUAAGAAGAUACAGAUAAAUCUCAUUAAAUUAAGAGAAUUAUGUCUAUUUGGAUUAAGGUUUUGGCAUUGUUGUCAUUGUGCGGUAGAUAUCUAAAAUAAAAUGACAACAUUUGUUAUAGAAGUAUAUAUUUGUCACGUUUAAGGCCGUAUGUAAUUUAUAAAUGUCUUGCUUUUGUGAUGUAGCUCUUUGAGUUGUAAUGGUAGUUUGAGUUUUGUAGUGAUAUAUUCUGAUUGAUUCCUAUGAAAAAACACCUGCCAAUGUGAUUUUUGGUUAAUAUAGGUUGGAAAAACUUUUAAAUGUCAAAACUAAGAUGUUGUUAACAUUGCAUUGUACUUCUAUUAGAUAAUUCUGUAGGACUGAACAUGCUAGCUUGCUGCUGAAUAUUGCUUUGAAUGCUUACUGUCCUGGUCUCAAUGUUAGUAGUUUUCUGACUGAUGUGUGGUUCUGGUACAUGUAUUUUGCUGCGUUACAACUAUAUAUUACUUGAACUCAUUUGACCUUGAGUACGCAUGGUGUUAUGUGACUUAUCUCAUGGGUGUGACACUCAACAAUUGUUUCAAAGUUUCGUCAGUUUAGGUUUAAACUUUGCAUGGCCCCUGGAAAUAUAUAGUAUGUUGGACACAAGUCAUUUGUUAUCACUGUCAGUAUUUGUUGAGAUAGUGUUUUCUCCUAUAAAUUAGUACGUAAUGCAAGCAUGGAUUAGUGGUUAUGACGGUCAUUCAUGGGCACAAGGUUGCAGGUACAAGAGCACAAGAGCACCCACAUCAGAAGGGAAGGACAGGAGGCGGCAGCAAUAGUAGCUGGUCCAUAUACAAGUUUUUUAUAUUCUGUUUCAGUGUUUGUAUAGCUGCAUAUUAUUUGUUAUUGUUGUAUUUGCCACGUCAUUUAGUUAGUUACAAGAUUAUUAGGUUGUUAGGAUGUUUGUUAGAACAAUCAAUCUUGUAACUCUUUCCUUUUCUUGUUUCCUCCUGCCUAUAUAAGGAGGCUUUCCGCCUUUGUUGUAUGUACUGAUUUUUGAUAGUUCAAUAUUAAAACAAUAUCAGUUUCUUU